Molecule: transfer RNA, 94 nt
Organism: Beta vulgaris subsp. vulgaris (sugar beet)
Lineage: Eukaryota; Viridiplantae; Streptophyta; Magnoliopsida; Caryophyllales; Amaranthaceae
Rfam family: tRNA
About the family: Transfer RNA (tRNA) molecules are approximately 80 nucleotides in length. Their secondary structure includes four short double-helical elements and three loops (D, anti-codon, and T loops).
Source: Rfam
CCGACCUUAGCUCAGUUGGUAGAGCGGAGGACUGUAGUUGGUAAAUGACCCACAGAUUAUCCUUAGGUCGCUGGUUCGAAUCCGGCAGGUCGGA